GUAGUAGUAGUAGUAGUAGUAAUAAUAAUAACAAUUUUAUUUAUAUGUAUAUUCUACCCUAUCUCCCCAAGGAGAGUCUAUCUAGAUGUGGUAGAUAAAGUACAUAGAUGUGAUACAUAAUAAUAAUAAUAGUAAUAAUAAUAAUAAUAAUAAUAAUAAUAAUAAUAAUAAUAAUAAUAAUAAUAAAAAAUAACAACAACUUCAAAGACUCUGGCAGAAACCAGUGCAGGUGGUCCCGGUGGUGAUGGGCACACUGGGUGCUGUGCCAAAAGAUCUCAGCCGGCAUUUGGAAACAAUAGACAUUGACAAAAUCACCAUCUGCCAACUGCAAAAGGCCACCCUACUGGGAUCUGCACACAUCAUCAGAAAAUACAUCACACAGUCCUAGACACUUGGGAAGUGUUCGACUUGUGGUUUUGCGAAACGAAAUCCAGCAUAUCUAUCUUGUUUGCUGUGCCAUACAACGUCGUUGUGUUGAUAAUAAUAAUAAUAAUAAUAAUAAUAAUAACAACUUUAUUUAUAUGUAUAUUUUACCCUAUCUCCCCAAGGGGGGUCUAUCUAGAUUGUAGAAAGAGUAGAUAGAUGUGGUAAAUAGAUGCGAUACAUAAUAAUAGUAGUAGUAGUAGUAAUAAUAAUAAUAAUAACAACUUUAUUUAUAUGUAUAUUCUACCCUAUCUCCCCAAGGGGGGUCUAUCUAGAUUGUAGAUAGAUGUGAUAGAUAGAUAGAUGCAAUACAUAAUAAUCGUAGUAGUAGUAAUAAUAAUAAUAAUAACUUUAUUUAUAUGUAUAUUCUACCCUAUCUCCCCAAGGGGAGUCUAUCUAGAUUGUAGAUAGAGUAGAUAGAUGUAAUAGAUAGAUGCGAUACAUAGUAAUAGUAGUAGUAGUAGUAAUAAUAAUAACAACUUUAUUUAUAUGUAUAUUUUACCCUAUCUCCCCAAGGGGGGGUCUAUCUAGAUUGUAGAAAGAGUAGAUAGAUGUGGUAAAUAGAUGCGAUACAUAAUAAUAGUAGUAGUAGUAGUAAUAAUAAUAAUAAUAACAACUUUAUUUAUAUGUAUAUUCUACCCUAUCUCCCCAAGGGGGGUCUAUCUAGAUUGUAGAUAGAUGUGAUAGAUAGAUAGAUGCAAUACAUAAUAAUCGUAGUAGUAGUAAUAAUAAUAAUAAUAACUUUAUUUAUAUGUAUAUUCUACCCUAUCUCCCCAAGGGGAGUCUAUCUAGAUUGUAGAUAGAGUAGAUAGAUGUAAUAGAUAGAUGCGAUACAUAGUAAUAGUAGUAGUAGUAGUAAUAAUAAUAACAACUUUAUUUAUAUGUAUAUUUUACCCUAUCUCCCCAAGGGGGGUCUAUCUAGAUUGUAGAUAGAGUUGAUAGAUGUAAUAGAUAGAUGUGAUACAUAGUAAUAGUAGUAGUAGUAGUAGUAGUAAUAAUAAUAACAACUUUAUUUAUAUGUAUAUUCUACCCUAUCUCCCCAAGGGGAGUCUAUCUAGAUUGUAGAUAGAGUUGAUAGAUGUAAUAGAUAGAUGCGAUACAUAGUAAUAGUAGUAGUAGUAGUAAUAAUAAUAACAACUUUAUUUAUAUUUAUAUUUUACCCUAUCUCCCCAAGGGGAGUCUAUCUAGAUUGUAGAAAGAGUAGAUAGAUGUGGUAGAUAGAUGCGAUACAUAAUAAUCGUAGUAGUAGUAAUAAUAAUAAUAAUAACUUUAUUUAUAUGUAUAUUCUACCCUAUCUCCCCAAGGGGAGUCUAUCUAGAUUGUAGAUAGAGUAGAUAGAUGUGGUAGAUAGAUGCGAUACAUAGUAAUAGUAGUAGUAGUAGUAAUAAUAAUAACAACUUUAUUUAUAUGUAUAUUUUACCCUAUCUCCCCAAGGGGAGUCUAUCUAGAUUGUAGAUAGAGUAGAUAGAUGUAAUAGAUAGAUGCGAUACAUAGUAAUAGUAGUAGUAGUAGUAAUAAUAAUAACAACUUUAUUUAUAUGUAUAUUUUACCCUAUCUCCCCAAGGGGAGUCUGUCUAGAUGUGGUAGAUAGAUAGAUGUGAUAGAUAGAUGUGAUACAUAAUAAUAAUAAUAAAAAUAACAACAACAACAACUUCAAAGACUCUGGCAGAAACCAGUGCAGGUGGUCCCGGUGGUGAUUGGCGCAUUGGGUGCUGUGCCAAAAGAUCUCAGCCGGCAUUUGGAAACAAUAGACACUGACAAAAUCAUGAUCUGCCAACUGCAAAAGGCCACCCUGCUGGGAUCUGGGCGCAUCAUCCGAAAAUACAUCACACAGUCCUAGACACUUGGGAAGUGUUCGACUUGUGAUUUUGUGAUACGAAAUCCAGCAUAUCUAUCUUGUUUGCUGUGUCAUACAACAAUAAUAAUAAUAAUAAUAAUAAUAAUAAUAAUAAUAAUAAUAUAACAACUUUAUUUAUAUGUAUAUUCUACCUUAUCUUCCCAAGGGGAGUCUGUCUAGAUUGUAGAUAGAGUAGAUAGAUGUGAUAGAUAGAUAGGAUACAUAAUAGUAGUAGCAUUAGUAGUAGUAGUAAUAAUAAUAAUAAUUAAUAAUAUAAAUUUGUUUAUAUGUUUUUUCCACCCUAUCUCCCCAAGUCUAUCUAGGUAUUGUAGAUAGAGUAGAUAUAUGCAAUAGAUAAAUAUGAUAGAUAGAGACAGACAGGCAGACAGACAGAUAGAUAGAUAUUGUUGAAGGUUUUCAUGGCCAGAAUCACUGGGUCACUGUGAGUUUUUUGGGCUGUAUGGCCAUGUUCCAGCAUCAUUCCCUCCUGACGUUUUGCCUGAAUCUGUUGCAAGCAUGCUCAGAGAUCUGUUGAAAGUGAGGCAAGUGGAGUGUAUAUACCUGUGGAAUGAUAUCUAGGGUGGGAGAAAGAACCUUUUUCUGUUUAAGGAAACGUGAAUGUUGCAAUUAGCAAGCUUGAAUUAGUAUUUGAGUAGCCUUGCAGCUGCACAGUCAAUCAGUGAAGAUAUUUGCAUGGAGGUAGCCUGGCCUCUGUUGCCUGGAUGAACCCUUUGUAUGGGAGUUGUUAACUGACACUUAAUUGUUUGCUGUCUGGAGUUCUCUUGUUUCUGAGUGAAGUUAUUUAUUUACCGCCUUGGUUCUGGUGUUUUUUAAACUACUUUUUAAAAUAAUAAUAUUGUU
Molecule: long non-coding RNA, 3121 nt
Organism: Anolis carolinensis (green anole)
Lineage: Eukaryota; Metazoa; Chordata; Lepidosauria; Squamata; Anolidae
Exons: 2
Source: RefSeq, a predicted model, not a curated record